This 497-nucleotide ribosomal RNA is filed under the name uncultured bacterium. Its description in RNAcentral is "partial 16S ribosomal RNA". It matches the Rfam family "Bacterial small subunit ribosomal RNA", at positions 28 to 507 of the family's 1533-position model. The record is from RNAcentral.
GAUGAACGCUGGCGGCGUGCCUAAUACAUGCAAGUCGAGCGAACGGACGAGAAGCUUGCUUCUCUGAUGUUAGCGGCGGACGGGUGAGUAACACGUGGAUAACCUACCUAUAAGACUGGGAUAACUUCGGGAAACCGGAGCUAAUACCGGAUAAUAUUUUGAACCGCAUGGUUCAAAAGUGAAAGACGGUCUUGCUGUCACUUAUAGAUGGAUCCGCGCUGCAUUAGCUAGUUGGUAAGGUAACGGCUUACCAAGGCAACGAUGCAUAGCCGACCUGAGAGGGUGAUCGGCCACACUGGAACUGAGACACGGUCCAGACUCCUACGGGAGGCAGCAGUAGGGAAUCGUCCGCAAUGGGCGAAAGCAUGACGGAGCAACGCCGCGUGAGUGAUGAAGGUCUUCGGAUCGUAAAACUCUGUUAUUAGGGAAGAACAUAUGUGUAAGUAACUGUGCACAUCUUGACGGUACCUAAUCAGAAAGCCACGGCUAACUACGUG